GGUCAAGCAAUCAAGGGCUAAUGGUGGAUACCUAGGCACACGAAGGCGAAGAAGGACGUAGCAACCUGCGAAAAGUCUCGGGGAGUUGGAAGCAAACAUUGAGCCGAGAAUGUCCGAAUGGGGCAACCCUAAAAACACACCUUUUUGAGGUGAUGAGCGAACCUGGUGAACUGAAACAUCUUAGUAGCCAGAGGAAGAGAAAACAAAAGUGAUUCCCUUAGUAGCGGCGAGCGAAGCGGGAGAAGCCUAAACCAGUGUUUACGAAUACUGGGGUAGUGGGACACCAACAUCGAAAGUAGAUGUUAAACGAACUAGCUGAAAACUAGACCAUAGAAGGUGAAAGUCCUGUAGUUGAAAACAGAAAUAAUCGUAGGUGAAUCCCGAGUAGCACGGUAUAAGAGAAAUCCCGUGUGAAUCAGCCACGACCACGUGGUAAGGCUAAAUACAAAGUGUGACCGAUAGAGAAAAGUACCGCGAGGGAAAGGUGAAAAGAACCCCGGGAGGGGAGUGAAAUAGAACAUGAAACCAUUAGCUUACAAGCAAUGGGAGUCCGAUAGAACGGAUGACCGUGUGCCUGUUGAAGAAUGAGCCGGCGACUUACAGGCUGUGGCAGGUUAAGACGGAAAGUCGAAGCCAAAGAGAAAUCGAGUCUGAAGAGGGCGUUAGUCACAGUUUGUAGACCCGAACCCGGGUGAUCUAACCAUGUCCAGGAUGAAACCACCGUAACAGGUGGUGGAGGUCCGAACCGACCAAUGUUGAAAAAUUGGCGGAUGAGGUGUGGUUAGGGGUGAAAUGCCAAUCGAACCCGGAGCUAGCUGGUUCUCCCCGAAAUGUGUUGAGGCGCAGCGGUGUGAAAUGUCAUGGGGGGUAAAGCACUGUUUCGUUGCGGGCUGCGAGAGCGGUACCAAGAUGAGACAAACUCAGAAUACCCAUGAUUGUAGCACUAGUAAGACGGUGGGGGAUAAGCUUCAUCGUCGAAAGGGAAACAGCCCAGACCAUCAGCUAAGGUCCCCAAGUAAAGACUAAGUGAUAAAGGAGGUGGGAGUGCAAAGACAACCAGGAGGUUUGCCUAGAAGCAGCCAUCCUUGAAAGAGUGCGUAAUAGCUCACUGGUCAAGCGCUCCUGCGCCGAAAAUGAACGGGGCUAAGUCUUUCACCGAAGCUAUGGACUCAUAUAUUGAGUGGUAGGGGAGCGUUCUCUAUUGGGAGAAGCAUUAGCGGCAAGCAGAUGUGGACGAUAGAGAAGUGAGAAUGUCGGCUUAAGUAGCGAAAAUUGAAGUGAGAAUCUUCAACCCCGAAAGCCUAAGGGUUUCUCCAGAAGGUUCGUCCGUGGAGAGUUAGCCCGGACCUAAGGCGAAGCGAAUAGCGUAGUCGAUGGCAAGCAGGUAAAUAUUCCUGCGUGGCGCUGCAGGAGCUAUUAAAGGGACCCAUGAAAGAUAAACUCGUCCUAAGUGGAUUGGAAGCAACCUCGGUUGUGUGAGUGUAAGGAUAGUGGCAAGAAAAGCUUUAAUAGUGUUGAAUGUAGAGUCCCGGUACCCGAAACCGACACAGGUAGGCAAGUAGAGAAUACUAAGGGGAGCGAGUUAACUCUCUCUAAGGAACUCGGCAAAAUGACCCCGUAACUUCGGGAGAAGGGGUGCCACCGAGAGGUGGUUGCAGUGAAAAGGCCCAGGCGACUGUUUAGCAAAAACAUAGGUCUCUGCAAACUCGAAAGAGGAAGUAUAGGGGCUGACGCCUGCCCAGUGCCGGAAGGUUAAAGAAGUUGGUCAGUCUUAGGAUGAAGCUAGCGACUGAAGCCCCGGUGAACGGCGGCCGUAACUAUAACGGUCCUAAGGUAGCGAAAUUCCUUGUCGGGUAAGUUCCGACCCGCACGAAAGGCGUAACGAUCUGGGCGCUGUCUCGGAGAGAGGCUCGGCGAAAUAGGAUUGUCUGUGAAGAUACGGACUACCUGCACUUGGACAGAAAGACCCUAUGAAGCUUUACUAUAGCUUGGAAUUGUGUUCGGGCCUGCUGUGCGCAGGAUAGGUGGGAGACGUAGAAAUUAUCCUUGUGGGGAUAAUGGAGUCAAUGGUGAGAUACCACUCUCAGAAGGCUAGAAUUCUAACUCUUAAAUGAGGACAGUUUCAGGUGGGUAGUUUGACUGGGGCGGUCGCCUCCAAAAAGGUAACGGAGGCGUACAAAGGUUACCUCAGACUGGUUGGAAAUCAGUCGAAGAGUGCAAAGGCAGAAGGUAGCUUGACUGCGAGACCAACAAGUCGAGCAGGGUGGAAACACGGUCUUAGUGAUCCGACGGUGCUGUGUGGAAGGGCCGUCGCUCAACGGAUAAAAGUUACUCUAGGGAUAACAGGCUGAUCUCCCCCAAGAGUUCACAUCGACGGGGAGGUUUGGCACCUCGAUGUCGGCUCAUCGCAACCUGGGGCGGAAGUACGUCCCAAGGGUUGGGCUGUUCGCCCCAUUAAAGCGGUACGUGAGCUGGGUUCAGAACGUCGUGAGACAGUUCGGUCCAUAUCCGGUGCAGGCGUGAGAAUAUUGAGAGGAGCCUUCCUUAGUACGAGAGGACCGGGAAGGACGUACCUCUGGUGUACCAGUUAUUGUGCCAACAGUAAACGCUGGGUAGCCAAGUACGGAGUGGAUAACCGCUGAAAGCAUCUAAGUGGGAAGCCCACCUCAAGAUGAGUAUUCUGGUGUAAGGUCACGGGAAGAACACCCGUUAAUAGGCACGAGGUGGAAGUGCAGUAAUGUAUGGAGCCGAAGUGUACUAACAGACCGUCAGCUUGACCUA
Cyanobacterium stanieri PCC 7202 is the source of this 2781-nucleotide ribosomal RNA. It matches the Rfam family "Bacterial large subunit ribosomal RNA". The record is from Rfam. NCBI's taxonomy places the organism in Bacteria, Bacillati, Cyanobacteriota, Cyanophyceae, Chroococcales, Geminocystaceae.